GAUUUGAUCUAUUUUUGGCUAGAGCACAUGGGAUCAAACCAGAGGUAAUCAAUUUUCUAUGUUCACCUGAUUAGUUAUAAGGAAUUUAUUACCUCUGUUUUAUUUCUAGGAUACCCAAACCAGUGGUAACGUUUUUUAUGGCUUUGAAAUUCUGUACAAGGUAUUCUCAUGUCUAAAUACUAGAAUUGUUUGUUCAUUGCUAAAUUGUUAAUGAGGGGUCCAUGUAGUGCUCUCAGUGGAGACGCUAGACCAUCUGAUGUUCAUUUAGACAUUUCUAUUCAAACUUUCAAAGUGAUUGUUUUCUUUUUGUGUGUCCACACAGUUGUUUGUGUGCAUCCAAUAUAAAACUUGCUAUGAAUUUGCACCACCUACACCCUUUUUCCAUGUCUUAGUCUAUAUGAAUUACCCACUUUAUAUACCGCAAAAAGAAAUUACCCACUUUAUAAUAACUCACAUGUUAAUUAAAAGGAAAAAGAUCUGAACCAUCGACACUCUAUAAGUUAAGUUGUUCAGCUAAAAUUUAACAAAGAGAUAUUUGAUUACAUGGAUCUCUAAUUUUUCUGCAGUGUUGUAAUUAUAUUGUCUUGGGUGUGUUGUUGUACGUUCCUUGUAUCAUGUUGACUUGCUCCUUGAUCAAUAGGGAUGUGGAUACAAAAUUCCGUUUUCCACUACUUAUAUUAUCCUCAUUGGACCUUAAGCUAUAAUCAUCGGCUGUUGUUGUGUGUCUGCCUGCCUGGCAAUGUUUCACCUCUAUUUUUGACCUACUGUUGACUUAUUUGGAACCUGAGAAAGAAUUAUUUUACAUGUUAGAGUACUCUCAUAUGUUCGAAGUCUUAAAACCAGCUGAGAUAAUGAAAUAAUGCCAGGUAAUUACUCGUGGUUUCAAGGUUGCGCAAAGGAGAGGAGGCAUGGUUAUAGGUCCUCGACAACAUCUGCGCCUCAUAGGUCAGCCAUGAUUCUCGAAUUUUUUGUUCUGCUGUUAUUCCCAAAGAAACAUCGUAGUUCUUUUGGACGGUCAAAGAUUAUUCAGUUACUGAAAUACUUCUUAUCCAAAGAGCUGGGAAUAUUUAAAACAUCUAAAUUGCUUAUCUCAACACUAUAAUAGAAAGUACUAUCUCGGAAAUAAUAACAAAACACCGUGAUAAACUGGGCACCGGAGCCAUAUUGACACAGACCCAUGAUCAGUGAUAUGUGAGCCAAGUCUUGAUACCCGUGAACUUACAGCCACCCAUUGAGUGCAUGAUUUCUUCCAUCUCCUUUUCUUUUGUUUUCCAGGGCAGAUAUUCCACCGUGCAUUGUAUUUGACCAUACUUAACCAAGUUGAUUCAUAUCAAUAAGUAUCUUUUGGUUUUCUUCCAGUUUAUUAGGCAUGGACCCAGACACAAAUUCUGAAGCUUCAAUAAUUUGGGUGGUCUAAUAGUUCCUGUAUAGCUUGAUGUCGUAUCAGGUGUAAUAUUUUGUUGUUGCUUGAUGUUGCAUCAAGACAAGCUAGGGUCAGCAAGGAACAAAGGGGUUGACACAUGGAGAAGCGGGAGCAUAAAAUUCAAAAG
Molecule: long non-coding RNA, 1550 nt
Filed under: Triticum aestivum (bread wheat)
Lineage: Eukaryota; Viridiplantae; Streptophyta; Magnoliopsida; Poales; Poaceae
Description: long non-coding RNA (TAES_LNC025457)
Source: RNAcentral